Molecule: ribosomal RNA, 834 nt
Filed under: Triticum aestivum (bread wheat)
Lineage: Eukaryota; Viridiplantae; Streptophyta; Magnoliopsida; Poales; Poaceae
Description: partial small subunit ribosomal RNA
Source: RNAcentral
AUGGACCUUGGGCGCCUAAACUAUGGGGGCAUCACUCUCAUACCCAAAGUUCCGGGUGCUUCUGACAUCCGCCAGUUUCGGCCUAUCACUGUGAUCAAUGUGAUAUUCCAGAUCUUGGCCAAAGGGUACGCAAAUAGGGUGACCCUUUUAGCUGACGCUGUCACUCACCCCAACCAAUCCGCCUUCAUUCAAGGGCGGUUUAUACUGGAUGGGGUUUUGGUCUUCCACGAGGUCCUUCAUGAAGUCUGUUCCAAACACCAUCAAGUGGUCUUCCUGAAGCUUGACUUCCAUAAAGCCUAUGAUACGGUUCACUGGACCUUCCUUCGGGAAGUCUUGCUCCGCAAGGGUUUCGAUGACUGGUGGGUGACCAGAGUUAUGCAACUCGUAUCCUGCGGUCGGACCACGGUUAACAUUAACAAUGAGAUUGGGCCAUUCUUCCCCACUCUCUGUGGGGUUUGCCAAGGCGACCCGUUCUCCCCGUUUCUGUUUAACAUGGUGGUCGAUGCCCUUGCGGUCAUCCUGGAUAAGGCCAAAUCUGCUGGCCAUAUCCACGGCAUAGUCCCUCACCUGGUAGGAGGGGGAGGGGUCUCCCUCCUACAAUAUGCAGACGACACCAUAAUAAUGGUAGAGGGCUCCGCGACUGACAUCGCCAACCUAAAGUUUCUCCUCCUAUGCUUCCAACAGAUGUCAGGUCUCACUAUCAACUUCGAUAAGAGCGAAGUGGUGAUCCUUGGCUAUCCUCCGGAGGAGGCCCUGGCCAUAGCUGAUCGGCUGAACUAUCGCUUGGGUACUUUUCCCAUGACUUAUUUGGGGAUACCCAUUAGUGACUCGUGA